CUUCUUCCCUCAAUUUAUUCAACAACAUUCAUAAAAAAAUCCAGGAAAAAAAUCCAGAAAAAUAAACAACAUAAAUUAAACCUCACCUCCAUCAUUAUCAACUCAAACCUAAAGUCAUUCAUUCAACCAUAAUCAUAUUCCUCAUCUCAAUUCUUUCCUAUUUCUUCUUCAGAGAAUCCCACCUAAAAACAUUCAUUCCACCAUAGUCACAUCUUUUCUCAACUUUAUAUUCGAAUCCAAACAACAAAGCAAAAAAAAUUCGAAUUCUAGAUUCGAAUCAUUCAAUUCUUUCAUCUUUCCUCUUCAGCAAUCAAAGCAAAAAAAAGAAGAAGAAUGAAGACAGAGAAAGAAACCUUCAUAUCUGAGUUGGUUAUGUGCCUACGCUUCCUCUCUUGAAACCCUUUUCUGGGUUCUAGAUGUGAGCUUAAAGAAAUCAGUCACGUUUUUUUUCUGCCAUAGCCAUGUUUCUGGAAGAAGGUGAAAGAGAUCCAGAGAUGUUGUUGUUGUAAUUCGAAUUUUUUUUCUGCCAUAGCCAUGUUUCGAUUCAAUCCGGUGUUGAUGUUGUUGUUGUUUCAAUUCAAUCCAUGAAUUUUUUGAUGUUGUUGUUCUAUGAAUUGAUUUUUUUAGCUUUACGGUUGGUGAAUUGAUGUUGUUGUUCUAUAUGAAUUGAUGUUGCUUUACGGUUGUUGUUGUUCUAUGAAUUGAAUUUGUUAAUGGUGUUCCAUGAUGUUGCUAUUCUGGAUUUGUUGUUGUUCUGGGUUAUGAUUGAGGGAAGUGUUAGGUGCAUCCAUGGUGACCAUAACAGUGGAGGAGGAUGAAAGGCAUCAGUCACGUAGGAUUUGGCCACGUGGCAAAAACUAACGGAAGUUUCAUGUGUUGACGGAAAGGAUUUAUUUGACCUACGGAGGUGAACUUGAGGGAC
Molecule: long non-coding RNA, 922 nt
Filed under: Medicago truncatula (barrel medic)
Lineage: Eukaryota; Viridiplantae; Streptophyta; Magnoliopsida; Fabales; Fabaceae
Description: lncRNA gene7361
Source: RNAcentral